AACGUUGAAACGUUUCCGCCAGGCGGCGUUGUCGUUGAACCGCUUUCUUGCUUGCUUGCCUAUCAAGAAACGUGUCAUUCUUGCUUAGCUUGAAAUUGGACACUUAGAAAUAACUUGUUACAAAUUCAGAGGCUGUGUGCAAUUACAUCAACAAUUUUCGGUGCCUCUUCAUCUGCUUCACUUAGUUCACAUUUUGUCAAAGACAUCACUAGUAGUCUUUCAUGGAAACUGUUUGUUCAAUGUACGAGGAUAAAAUUCGAAAGCUAUCUCUUCUGAAGCUUCACGGUCAGCAAAUUUUUUUUAUUAUCAAUGCAUAGCACUACGAGUAAUCAAAAUGUGGUUAUCUUUUAAUCUUUUAUUAUGAUCAAUGCUUUAACAAUUAUUUUAAAAGAUAAUUUUGUAAAAACUAGUUUCAUUUCAGUCCUUCAAAUAUCAAGUAUUUAUAAAAUGUAUUGUGAAAGUGGCCAAUGAUGUAUUAAAAUAUAGCCGACAUCGGCUGAUUAGAGGUUCAUAUAAAAUGACGUAUCCUAAUAUUUGUGUCUGAGGCCUCUUAAUAUAUUUCACUUUUUUAAUAAUUUCUUUUUAUCUAUUUGAUAAGUUAGAAUUUAAUAUUUAAAGUUAAUUAAAUAAAAUAUCACAAGUUUGUGUUCAUAUCUUUGCAAAUGUAAUUAUAAAUUUAUUGACUGAGAUGUUUCACUUUUAUUUUGUUUAAAAAUUUUGCAAAUAUUAUUUAAUCAUGUCAAUUUAGAAAGUCUAGUGAAUGAAAUUUGUUUAGAUUUAUACAUUUUUGUGUUAAAAUUGAAUUUUCCUUCUACUAAUACCGUCCUAAUGUUGAGCAAAAGUCUACAAUGUUAUAAUUUUUUUUAAUAAGAAUAGUGUUUAUUAAUUUUAAAUAAAUUUGAUCCUACUUUCAAAUUUAAUUUGACUAGAACUGAAAAUGUUGUUUAUACAUUCACUAAGAAAUUUUACAUAUUUGUACAUAAAAACUGUAUCUAAUAGCUCCUCAUAAAAUGUUUUAGAAUAAUUUAUUUUUGUCUCAUUCUUGUAAUUUAAUUACAGUUUAUUUUUUAUUUUUGUUUUGGAAGUCUUGAAUUCAAUCAAAUGUUUAUCCUUUUAUUUCGUUUAUCAAUAAUACAUUUUUAUAGUGUUGCUUUGUUUCAUUAGUUUUGUCGUAGUGUUGAGAUUACAUGACAACAACAUGACGCCUAUGUAAUAUCUUAAUCAUAUCUAAGACCCAUACCUAUUAUUUUAUCGAAGACAAUGUAACCCAAUUCAUAUUUCUUUUGAACCAGCCAAAGGUAUAAUAUAGGUAAGAUCCAAGUGCUAUAUCUAAUAAAAUAAAAUUUAUUAAAUUUUUUUAUUAUAUAAAACUGGCCUAAGAAAAACAUAAGGACUUUUUUUCUUCAGUGCUAUAUCUAAUAAAAUAACCUAAGAAAAACAUAAGGACUUUUUUUCUUUAGAUUUACACUUUAUUUAUUUUAGGCGAUGUAAUUGCCUUGGACGUUAGAGUAUUAAUAUUGUGAUAAUUUAUUAUUUUUGAGAUAUUUAAGUCUUUAAUAGUUGAUUUAUUUGGUAAUGAUACAGUUAAUUAGGAUUAUUUAUAUAUGUUUUAAUGACUUUAGCUUAGUUUAGUAUUGAGCACACUAGGUGCUCUCUUUUGUAGUUUUACGUGUACUUGUGUAUGUGUAGAAGAGUUACUUUGGAGAUAAGUUAUAUCGUGCCAGGAAUAUAUUACCACUCCGCAUCAAUCCUUCGAGCCAUAAGACUCUGGAAAGAGUGAUUGAUCUCAGUCUUGGGGCACACAGUGCAGACUUGUGAGAAAAGAAAGAAGGAAAUGAGAUAUAUAGUCUAAAAGAUAAGGAUGACUACUACAAGACAAAAGUUUGAAAAGUUGUUUUGGCAUUCCAAUGGUGCUUCUGUGUAAUCUCUACACAACAUGCUUGAUAAUAGACGAGUUGUCUCAGACAUGUGUUGUGUACUACUCAUAGUACCGGUACGAGAGGAUAUGAGAAAGAAAAUAUUAUGAAUUUCAUGUGUCAAAUUAAUGGAUACUCAAAGGCUCAAGAUCCAAAAUCUUAAGAAAACCCUAAAUUUACAGAGUCGUUAAAAGGACCAUCUUGGAGAAAGGAGAAGAGGUUCAGAAGUUGAGAAAAACUUGAGAAAAUUCAUAUAAAUGAUUCACUUGGAGAAGAAUAAGCUUGAACCAGAUUUUGAGGAAUUUUCUACCUUUACAUUUCUUGAAGAAUAUUGUUCUAUCAUGCAUGACAUAACUCAUCUCUUAUUGAUUGAAGAUUUCAAGAAGUAGAAGUGUCAGUCUUAGAUUUAUAUUUUCAUAUCAUUCGUGUUUAAAAAUGUUAACCUUAAG
This 2365-nucleotide long non-coding RNA is filed under the name Lathyrus oleraceus (garden pea). Its description in RNAcentral is "Pisum sativum (pea) long non-coding RNA (PSAT_LNC026055)". The record is from RNAcentral. Lineage: Eukaryota; Viridiplantae; Streptophyta; Magnoliopsida; Fabales; Fabaceae.